RNAcentral lists this ribosomal RNA (307 nucleotides) under uncultured bacterium. RNAcentral describes it as "partial 16S ribosomal RNA". It matches the Rfam family "Bacterial small subunit ribosomal RNA", at positions 506 to 809 of the family's 1533-position model. The record is from RNAcentral.
AGACAGCAGUCGCCACGGUAAAACGGAGGGUGCAAGCGUUAAUCGGAAUUACUGGGCGUAAAGCGCACGCAGGCGGUCUGACAAGUCAGAUGUGAAAUCCCCGGGCUUAACCUGGGAACUGCAUUUGAAACUGUCAGGCUGGAGUCUUGUAGAGGGGGGUGGAAUUCCAGGUGUAGCGGUGAAAUGCGUAGAGAUCUGGAGGAAUACCGGUGGCGAAGGCGGCCCCCUGGACAAAGACUGACGCUCAGGUGCGAAAGCGUGGGGAGCAAACAGGAUUAGAUACCCGCGUAGUCCCUGUCUCUUAUAA